CGACCACAAGCUUCUAUAGAAACCCUAAUCAAAUACUCUCUUUCAUGUUCUUCGUCUCUUCUCGAUCGGCGGAAACGGUGACGAUCCAAUAUCUGUAACGGAAGGCGUUGUGGAACUCAACCUAUUAAAAGGCUUGCUUGCCGCUGUUCUUCAACAAUCAUGGGUAAAGGUCCAGGACUCUACACUGAGAUGGAAAAAAGGCCAGAGUCUUUGUUAAGGUUUCUUAUUGAAAGUCAGGAACUCCCUUUCUUACUCCUAUAAGUCUAUCUCAUCAAAGGAGAUGGGUUCUGCGAGAAAAGAGUACGAGUUUCUGAGUGAGAUUGGGUUAAGCUCUCACAACCUUGGAAACCACGUUGGUGGUAAACGGCUAGGAAACGGACCUGUUGUUUCCACUUUGAAUCCUGCUAAGUUGAUGUUCUUUUUCUGUGUGCUGUGAUGAUUUUUGUUGGCAAACAUUACAAGUGGAACAAACACGGGAGAUUUGUUUGUGUGUGAUGUAGCUACCAAGUCAAAAACAAGAACUUCACUGCU
Molecule: long non-coding RNA, 531 nt
Organism: Raphanus sativus (radish)
Lineage: Eukaryota; Viridiplantae; Streptophyta; Magnoliopsida; Brassicales; Brassicaceae
Exons: 4
Source: RefSeq, a predicted model, not a curated record